Molecule: ribosomal RNA, 464 nt
Filed under: uncultured bacterium
Lineage: Bacteria
Description: partial 16S ribosomal RNA
Rfam family: Bacterial small subunit ribosomal RNA
Source: RNAcentral
GACGAACGCUGGCGGCGUGCUUAACACAUGCAAGUCGAACGAUGAAGCCAGCUUGCUGGUGGAUUAGUGGCGAACGGGUGAGUAACACGUGGGUGAUCUGCCCCAAACUUUGGGAUAAGCAUGGGAAACUGGGUCUAAUAACGAAUAUGACCGAUACUCGCAUGGGUGUUGGUGGAAAGCUCCGGCGGUUGGGGAUGGGCCCGCGGCCUAUCAGCUUGUUGGUGGGGUAAUGGCCUACCAAGGCGACGACGGGUAGCCGGCCUGAGAGGGCGACCGGCCACACUGGGACUGAGACACGGCCCAGACUCCUAUGGGAGGCAGCAGUGGGGAAUAUUGCACAAUGGGCGCAAGCCUGAUGCAGCGACGCCGCGUGAGGGAUGACGGCCUUCGGGUUGUAAACCGCUUUCACCAGGGACGAAGCGAAAGUGACGGUACCUGGAGAAGAAGCACCGGCCAACUACGUG